Molecule: ribosomal RNA, 467 nt
Filed under: uncultured Alphaproteobacteria bacterium
Lineage: Bacteria; Pseudomonadati; Pseudomonadota; Alphaproteobacteria
Description: bacterial SSU rRNA
Rfam family: Bacterial small subunit ribosomal RNA
Source: RNAcentral
GAGUUUGAUCCUGGCUCAGAGCGAACGCUGGCGGCAGGCCUAAUACAUGCAAGUCGAGCGCACCUUCGGGUGAGCGGCGGACGGGUGAGUAACGCGUGGGAAUAUGCCCUUUGGUACGGAACAACCCAGGGAAACUUGGGCUAAUACCGUAUGUGCCCUACGGGGGAAAGAUUUAUCGCCAUUGGAGUAGCCCGCGUUGGAUUAGCUAGUUGGUAGGGUAAAGGCCUACCAAGGCUACGAUCCAUAGCUGAUCUGAGAGGAUGAUCAGCCACACUGGGACUGAGACACGGCCCAGACUCCUACGGGAGGCAGCAGUAGGGAAUCUUGCGCAAUGGGCGAAAGCCUGACGCAGCCAUGCCGCGUGAAUGAUGAAGGUCUUAGGAUUGUAAAAUUCUUUCACCGGGGAAGAUAAUGACGGUACCCGGAGAAGAAGCCCCGGCUAACUUCGUGCCAGCAGCCGCAGUAAG